Molecule: small nuclear RNA, 23 nt
Filed under: Arabidopsis thaliana (thale cress)
Lineage: Eukaryota; Viridiplantae; Streptophyta; Magnoliopsida; Brassicales; Brassicaceae
Description: snRNA_16344
Source: RNAcentral
AUUUAGAGCAGUCACAUUUGAAA